AUACUCUGGUUUCUCUUCAGAUCGUAUAAAUCUUUCGCCUUUUACUAAAGAUUUCCGUGGAGAGGAACAGUUAUGAGUCUUUAACCAAUUUUUUGAUGCCUCGGUUUUCCGGGGCU
RNAcentral lists this small nuclear RNA (116 nucleotides) under Echinops telfairi (small Madagascar hedgehog). RNAcentral's name for it is "U5 spliceosomal RNA (ENSETEG00000020447.1)". It matches the Rfam family "U5 spliceosomal RNA". From Rfam's summary of the family: U5 RNA is a component of both types of known spliceosome. The precise function of this molecule is unknown, though it is known that the 5' loop is required for splice site selection and p220 binding, and that both the 3' stem-loop and the Sm site are important for Sm protein binding and cap methylation. Lineage: Eukaryota; Metazoa; Chordata; Mammalia; Afrosoricida; Tenrecidae. The record is from RNAcentral.